AGUGCAAACAUUGAUUAACAUAUGGAGAUAUUCCUCUAGGAUGAAUAUAGGUCUCUCUCUUUAUUCAAUUACAUCAGAACUAUGGAACAGCUAUCAGACAAUUACAUCUCUAGUAUUUUGUAAAGUUUAUAAAAGGGAAUAAAUGAGAUGCAUGAGGCAUCGAUCUUCUGCUUUUGUAUUGUGUAAUUGGCUAUAAUGUAUAGCAUUCCCAGCAAACUAUUAGAAAUAAUGAUUUACACAUAGGAUUCUUGGUGCUCAGUCAAACUGCUUAGCAGCAAGCAAUUCCAGUAUGCAUGCAUUUUGGAGACUACUGGUAAAUCCAUUGGUAUGCGACUGUAAUGGAUGUAGGGAUCGGAAGGGGGUCACAACUACACCCACAAUGUCACACAAUCAAGACAACCAACCAAUUAUGCAAUCCAAUCAAUCCAAAUGUCACGCAACUAAAUUAACAAAGGAAACCAACAGCUAAAUGCAGUAAAUAACCAGCUAUAACAAAAGAAAAUAAUAGCAAACAACACACACGAUUUAUACGUGGAAAACCCCUACGAUGUAAAGAGUAAAAACCACGGGACCUUUUGAGGAGUCCACUCUUAACUUCUCUUAUUUAUAAAUUGAAGGAAAAAGAACCCCAAAUCAAUCUACAAAGGAUUCACAAACCACCAAUAAACACCAACAAUAAAAGAAUUGAAAUAGAGAACAAAAAAAUGUAAAAUUCACCCAAAAACAGCAGCUCUGUCCAGAGAUAAUUUCCGAUGAACCGGAGCUCCAAUUGACGAUCCGAACGGUCAGAAUGUAGCCCCAUGUGUCCUCAACAAGCUGACAAAAUUUCAGCAAAAUCCAACGGUGAGAUCUUCUCGGAAAACCAAAAUACUAGGAUUGGUGCUGAGAAAAACGAGCAGGCAGCACCCUUUGGAACUCUCUAGUUUCCUCUCUCUUUUGUGUAUGUUUUUCAAUCUGAAAAAUUGCUGUUCCCUUCACACACUAAAUGUCUACACAAUAGCCUCUACAAGCUUCUCUUGGAAGCCACAAAACACAUACCAAAGUGGAUCCAAAAAUAAAACAUAGCAAGUCCAUCAUAAAAACCCAUAAUAUCUGGGUCCAAAAGCAAUAAAAAUAUUACAAGAUGAGCUGGACCCAUAACAAUGGACUCACGAACAACCAAUAUAGCCAAAAGAGCCCAUAUGACAAAAAUAACAAGAACGCCAAGUGAGCAUGGAAGGAAGAG
Molecule: long non-coding RNA, 1225 nt
Filed under: Ricinus communis (castor bean)
Lineage: Eukaryota; Viridiplantae; Streptophyta; Magnoliopsida; Malpighiales; Euphorbiaceae
Description: long non-coding RNA (RCOM_LNC000177)
Source: RNAcentral